RNAcentral lists this ribosomal RNA (781 nucleotides) under uncultured organism. RNAcentral describes it as "bacterial SSU rRNA". It matches the Rfam family "Bacterial small subunit ribosomal RNA", at positions 642 to 1429 of the family's 1533-position model. The record is from RNAcentral.
UAGAGGCUGGGAGAGGUAAGCGGAAUGGCCGGUGUAGGGGUCAAAUCCGGGAAUAUCGGCAGGAACACCGAAGGCGAAGGCAGCUUACUAGCACAGUCCUGACACUCAUGUACGAAAGCGUGGGGAGCGAAGCGGAUUAGAUACCCGCGUAGUCCACGCCGUAAACGAUGGAUACUAGACAUAGGGAGUAUCGACCCUCUCUGUGUCGUUCAAAAAAGCUAACGCGUUAAGUAUCCCGCCUGGGGAGUACGGCCGCAAGGCUAAAACUCAAAGGAAUUGACGGGGACUCGCACAAGCGGUGGGUCAUGUGGUUUAAUUCGUCUCUACGCGAGAAACCUCACCAAGGCUUGAAAUCUAGCUGCAUCCCACUAGAAAUAGAGGGAGCCUUCGAGGGUGCUAGACAGGUGCUGCAUGGUUGCCGUCAGCUCGUGUCGUGAGAUGUACGGUUAAGUCCGAUAACGAGCGCAACCCCUAUCCUAAUUUGUACUUUAUUAGGAAACUGCCUCGGUCAACGAGGAGGAAGGAGGGGACGACGUCAAAUCAGCAUGGCCCUUACGCCUUGGGCUACACACAUGAUACAAUGGCCAGUACAAUGGGUCGCCAAGUCGAAAGAUGGAGCUAAUCCCACCAAAACUGGUCUCAGUUCGGAUUGAGGUCUGCAACUCGACCUCAUGAAGCUGGAAUCGCUAGUAACCGUAAAUCAGAACGUUACGGUGAAUACGUUCUCGAGUCUUGUACACACUGCCCGUCACGUCAAGAGAGUCGGUAAUACCCGAUAUCG